GCAAGUCGAACGAGGUAGCAAUACCUAGUGGCGCACGGGUGAGUAACGCGUGGAUAAUCUGCCCUUCACUGGGGAAUAACUAAUCGAAAGGUUAGCUAAUACCGCAUGAGGCCACAGUUUCUGAGGAAGCAGUGGUUAAAGAUUUAUUGGUGAAGGAUGAGUCUGCGUGGGAUUAGCUAGUUGGUGAGGUAAUGGCUCACCAAGGCUACGAUCUCUAACAGGUCUGAGAGGAUGACCUGUCACACUGGAACUGAGACACGGUCCAGACUCCUACGGGAGGCAGCAGUAGGGAAUAUUGCGCAAUGGACGAAAGUCUGACGCAGCGACGCCGCGUGAGUGAUGAAGGCCUUAGGGUCGUAAAGCUCUGUUGCAGGGGAAGAAAAAAAUGACGGUACCCUGCGAGAAAGGAUCGGCUAACUUCGUGCCAGCAGCCGCGGUAAGACGAGGGAUCCUAGCGUUGUUCGGAAUCAUUGGGCGUAAAGCGCAUGUAGGCUGCCAUUCAAGUCAGUUGUGAAAGCCCCGGGCUCAACCCGGGAAGUGCUUCUGAUACUGUUUGGCUUGAGUACUAGAGAGGAUAGUAGAAUUCCAGGUGUAGUGGUGAAAUACGUAGAUAUCUGGAGGAAUACC
This 627-nucleotide ribosomal RNA is filed under the name uncultured bacterium. RNAcentral describes it as "bacterial SSU rRNA". It matches the Rfam family "Bacterial small subunit ribosomal RNA", at positions 57 to 710 of the family's 1533-position model. The record is from RNAcentral.